UGAAAAGCACCCCGGGAGGGGAGUGAAAGAGAACCUGAAACCCUGUGCUUACAAGCACUUAGAGCACGUCAAAGUGUGAUAAGGUACCUAUUGUAGAAUGGUCCGGCGAGUUAUUGUAUGCAGCGAGGUUAAGUAGUUCAGCUACGGAGCCGAAGUGAGAGCGAGUGUUAACAGCACGUUCAGUUGCAUGCAAUAGACCCGAAACCGGGUGACCUAUCCAUGUCCAGGAUGAAGUGAGGGUAAAACCUCAUGGAGGUCCGAACCCACUCCCGUUGAAAUGGUAGGGGAUGAGGUGUGGAUAGCGGAGAAAUUCCAAUCGAACCCGGAUAUAGCUGGUUCUCCCCGAAAUAGUUUUAGGACUAGCCUCGUGAUUAAGAUUAUCGGAGGUAAAGCACUGAAUGGCCUAGGGGUCGAGAGAUUACCGAAGCCUAUCAAACUCUGAAUGCCGAAUAAUCAUGCACGGGAGUCAGACUGUGUGAGAUAAGUUUCAUAGUCGAAAGGGAAACAGCCCAGACCUACAGCUAAGGUCCCAAAGUACGUUUAAGUGGAAAACGAUGUGAAAUUGCGUAGACAACCAGGAUGUUGGCUUAGAAGCAGCCAUACAUUAAAAGAGUGCGUAAUAGCUCACUGGUCGAGUGACUUUGCGCGGAAAAUUUAACGGGGCUAAAACGUACACCGAAGCUUAGGCUUGCAACUAUGUUGCAGGGGUAGGGGAGCGUUGAAUGAGGGGUGAAGUCGUAGCGAAAGCGACGGUGGACUUCAUUCAAGUGAGAAUGCCGGAAUGAGUAGCGAGAAUUAUGUGAGAAUCAUAAUGGCCGAAAGCCUAAGGUUUUUGGAGGAAGGUUCGUCCGCUCCAAGUAAGUCGGAAGCUAAGGUGAGGCUGAAAAGCGUAGCCGAUGCACAAACGGUUGAAAUUCCGUUACCACAGAAAGAUUUAAACUAAGGGACACUUUUGAAGAGCUGAUGCUGGGUGUUGGUUACCCCGGUCGUAAGGGAACGAAAUUAAGUAGUGAAGUCAGCGUGGAUGAAGGCGAGAAAAGCUUAGUGUAUAUCUUAUGUGUCCGUACCGCAAACCGACACAGGUAGGUAGGAAGAGAAUUCUAAGGCCAACGGGAGAAGGGUAGUUAAGGAACUCGGCAAAAUGUCCCCGUAACUUCGGAAUAAGGGGAGGUUUCUACGGAAACCCGCAGAGAAUAGUCCCAGGCAACUGUUUAUCAAAAACACAGCUCUAUGCUAAAUCGAAAGAUGACGUAUAUGGGGUGACGCCUGCCCGGUGCCGGAAGGUUAAGAGGAGGAGUGAGAGCCCUGAAUCGAAGCCCCGGUAAACGGCGGCCGUAACUAUAACGGUCCUAAGGUAGCGAAAUUCCUUGUCAGGUAAGUUCUGACCCGCACGAAUGGCGUAACGAUUUGGGCACUGUCUCAACAGCCCGCCCGGCGAAAUUGUAGUACCGGUGAAGAUGCCGGUUACCCGCGACAAGACGGAAAGACCCCAUGGAGCUUUACUGUAGCCUAAUAUUGGGUUUCGAUGUUGCAUGCACAGGAUAGAUGGGACACUGGGAAGCAGGUGCUUUGGCGCUUGUGGAGUGGCCGUUGGGAUACCAUCCUUGCGAUAUUGGAAUUCUAACCUGCGCCUUUGAAUCAAGGCGGGGGACAUUGUUAGGUGGGCAGUUUGACUGGGGCGGUCGCCUCCUAAAGAGUAACGGAGGCGUUCAAAGGUUCGCUCAGCUUGAACGGAAAUCAAGCAAAAGAGUGCAAACGCAGAAGCGAGCCUAACUGCGAGACUGACGGGUCGAGCAGUAACGAAAGUUGGAGUUAGUGAUCCGGUGGUAUGUGAGUGGAAAUGCCAUCGCUCAACGGA
Molecule: ribosomal RNA, 1858 nt
Filed under: human gut metagenome
Description: bacterial LSU rRNA
Rfam family: Bacterial large subunit ribosomal RNA
Source: RNAcentral